AUUUUAUAUUCAGCAAAUGGAAUUAAAUCUGGGACUUCUAUGCACUCAGGUAGAUGGAUGUUCAAUGUUGAACCAAAUGUUAGCUAAUCUUUUCUAGAUCAAAGUUAUUUCAUGGUUAACUUCUUUAGUGAGUGACAGGAAUAUUUGCCAGUUAUUUAGGCCAUACUUUACAGUCAAGACUGUUGAUAUUCUGUUGCAGAAAUACAAGUCUCACCAUUUUUCCUACCCAAAUGAAGAGUUAUCCCCCUUCCCUCUACGUCUGAAUUUCUCUUGGAAAAGAGUUUGCAUCUGUGAAAACAUUUAGACCACUUCUUAACCGAGACCCUAGAGCUCUGUAAUAUAAAUCUUAGAAGAGAUUAGUCAUUUAUUGAAAAACAUCAGGGGCAGAUGUAGCCAAAUGAGUAUUAAAAUAACUUCAGAGGCGCUGUGCAUCAGCAGAAGCAUGGAGCGUGGCAGAGCCAGGAAGUGAGGUUGUGAAGAUGCUAUAUUCACAGACAUUAUUUGGGGAAUUAAAGUAGAGAAGAUGGGAGCCAGUUCUUCUCCACGCUCCUUAAAUGCAUUGGCUACACAGAACAUGUGGCCUUGGAUGGACCCAUAGGACAGCACCAUGAAGAUGACCCUCUUCUGGACACAUUUGCUCCAGAAAAUUUAGAAAAAAAAUAAAAUAACUUCAGUCUGAACCUUGCAGAACAAUUGAUUUUGAAUAGACUAGAUUCUGAUGGAAUUGCUUUGCUUCAAAAUAUAACUGGGUGAAAUGAUUGUGUAAGAUAGGUAAAGAUGCACACUCAACUUGGAGGUGAAUUUAAUAAUAAAUGAAUGAUUUACCAGUAUGUGGGCAGAGCUUCCAGAAACCACAGAAGAGAAGGCAGUAUGCAGAAGGAAGCCCAUUGAUACAGUCUGCACAGGUCAGCCUCCUAGCCCCAGCACAAAUUGAGGACGGGAACCACAGAGGUAAACUGUUCAGCACGGGGAAGCAUUUGAGAGUUGGUAAAUAGUUGUCACAUCAGAUUAGGGUUUUUAAAUGGUAGAAGCCAAAAUAUGCUUGCUGGUGAUGAUACAAUAAAUUCAUUUGCUUCCUAUAGGUACAUUUCACCAUGUAUAGGGUGUUUGCUUUCCUAUUUGCUAUAGCAGGUGGCAUGCAUCCAUCCAGUUAUGUAGCAGGAUCCAGUUAUAUGUGUGUGAAUGUAACAGAAGAGGGACUGUAACAACAGCGAUUCACUUUCAAAUAAAAUUCUUCCCAUACUAUGUAUUAUCAUUAAUACAUUAUAUUGUAGUUUUCUCUGAAUGUGUACUAUAACCAAGAGAGAAGACAAAGAGUAUUUUGCUUCUACAGGUAGAAUAGCAGCAGAAUACACUGGUGGUUAGAAAUGUCAAUCAAACUAACUUUUCCAUAAAGAUUCCCAAGACUCUUUUAAAAAAAAUAUUUAUUUAUUUAUUUGUCUAUAUUGGGUCUUUGUCACUGCGUGGACUUUUCUCUGGUUGUGGUGAGGAGGUGCUACAUUCAAUUUGCAAUGCCCAAGCCUCUCACUGUAGUGGCUUCUCUUGUUGGGGAGUGGAGGGUCUAGGGCACACAGGCUUCAGCAGUGGCAACACAUAGGCUCAGUAAUUAUGGUUCCCCAGGGCUUCCCUAGUAGCUCAGAUGGUAAAGCAUCUGACUGCAAUGCAGGAGACCUGGGUUCGAUCCCUGGGUUGGGAAGAUCCCCUGGAGAAGGAAAUGGCAACCCACUCCAGUAUCCUUGCCUGGAAAAUCCCACGGACAGAAGAGCCUGGCAGGCUGUACAGUCCAUGGGGUCACAAAGAGUCGGACACGACUGAGCAACUAACACACACAGCUCUAGAGCACAGGCUCAGUAGUUGUGGCCCAUGGGCUAGCUGCUCCAUGGCAUGUGGAAUCUUCCCAAAUCAGGGAUGGAACCGAUAUCUCCUGCAUCGGCCAGCAGAUUCUUUACCACUGAGCCGGCAGGGAAGCCUCCAAGACCCUUUUUAGUUUACAUAAGUAACUGGAUGCUGUAUUCGUUUCCUAUUUCUGCUGUAACAAAAUAUCAUAAGCUUUAGACAACACGGAUUUAUUCUAUUACAUAUUUGGAAGUCAGGCAACAAAGUGAAUUUUAAGGGGUUAAAAUGAAGAUGUCAGCAGGGCUGUUUUCCCCCCCUGAGUUUUCCAGGGGAAAUCCGUUCCUUUGUCUCCUGCAACUUCUAGACAGUGCAGCGUUCCUCAGGCCUGGCCACAGCACCCCAGCCUCUGCUCCUGUUGUCUGACAUGGCCUUCUACUUGCGCCAGUCUUCUGCCUCCUUCUUAUUAGUACCUCUGUGGCUACAUCAGGCCCUCCCAGAUAAUUCCAACUCAUCUCUCCUUUUCAAGAUCCUUAUCUGCAAAGUCCCUUUUGCUGUAAAAGGUAACAUUCACAGGUUCUGGUGAUUAGCAUGUGAAUAUCUUUGGGGCCCAGCAGUCAGCUUAUUACAGGUGUCUUAAGUGUGUGUCACUGAAGUUUUCUAAGUGGACAGGACCUGCUGACAUCAUCAGUGUAUACUUGGAAGUUUUAUGGGAAAACCUAGUCAUUAUCAAGAUAAGCUGUACUCAGACCAUGGGUAACAGCCAAAAAUCUACUUUUAUUAAUGAGUUUAUAGACACACUUGGCUAAACCUGAAGUCUCCCAGUUAUUGUUUGAAAGAAUAAAGUGCUUACAAAAGAAUUUAAACC
Long non-coding RNA from Bos taurus (domestic cattle), 2701 nucleotides. The record is from Ensembl. NCBI's taxonomy places the organism in Eukaryota, Metazoa, Chordata, Mammalia, Artiodactyla, Bovidae.